UAGAAAUUCAUUGGCUUGUCUUGGGUUACU
This 30-nucleotide non-coding RNA is filed under the name Rattus norvegicus (Norway rat). The record is from RNAcentral. Lineage: Eukaryota; Metazoa; Chordata; Mammalia; Rodentia; Muridae.